UGAGAAAGGAAGACCUACCCUCAAUGUGGGUGGGCACCAUCCAAUCUGCUGCCAGCACAGCCAGAACACAGUAGGCGGAAGAAGGUGGGAUAGGCUGGCUUGAUGAGCCUUCUGACUUUCACCUUUCUCCCCUGCUGGAUGCAUCCAUCCAUCUCUCCCUCCUGCCUUCAGACAUCAGACUCCAGCUUCUUUGGCCUUUGGACUCUUAGACUUACACUAGUGGUUUGCUGGGGGCUUUCCGGCCUUUGGCCACAGACUGAAGGCUGCAUCGUCAGCUUCCCUACCUUUGAAGAUUUUGGACUUUGACUGAGUCACUAUUGGCUUCUUUCUUCCUCAGCUUGCAGACGGCCUAUCAUGGGACUUCACCUUGUGAUCAAAGGAGAAGGACUGAGGUGUUCUAUCUCUUUCCGGCACAAAUCAUCACUUCACAUAUCCCUUCUAGACAGCAGCUGUAUGAUAGCAUGAUACUUUUUUCUACUUGUUCUGAAGUGUGAACCGGAAAGAGCAGAAAGUGUUAGCCAGAGAAAAGACAUCCCUCUGUGAGUUUGGGAGCCUGGGAAGUACAAAAUCAAGGCGCCAGCAGAUUUCAGUGUCUGGAGAAAACCUGCUUCCUCAAAGGUCUUGACGUUGGGAAGUAAAAGAUCAGAGUGCUGGCAGAUUUUGGUGUCUAGUAAAGGACGGCUUUCUAGUGUAUAGAUAACACCUUCUAUCCAUGUCCUCACAUGGUGAAAAAGUGACUGUAAGUUUCCUGAGGCCUCCCCAGAAGCAGAAGCCUGUAUACUCGGCAGAAGUGUGCUUAUUGAAAUACUCAACUUUCAUGAUGCUCUGAUGGCUUUGGCAGACACUGCCCCAACUUCUUCAGGUGGUUUUCUCCCUUACCAGGGAGACUGUUGUUCAGGCGGCAGGACUGGCAACUCAGUAUGUGGUUUGCUUAUAAACCUGUGAACACA
This 950-nucleotide long non-coding RNA is filed under the name Homo sapiens (human). RNAcentral's name for it is "HSALNT0376745". The record is from RNAcentral. Lineage: Eukaryota; Metazoa; Chordata; Mammalia; Primates; Hominidae.